This 442-nucleotide ribosomal RNA is filed under the name uncultured bacterium. RNAcentral describes it as "partial 16S ribosomal RNA". It matches the Rfam family "Bacterial small subunit ribosomal RNA", at positions 338 to 795 of the family's 1533-position model. The record is from RNAcentral.
CCUACGGGAGGCUGCAGUGGGGAAUAUUGGGCAAUGGGCGCAAGCCUGACCCAGCAAAGCCGCGUGAAGGAAGACGGCUUUCGGGUUGUAAACUUCUUUUAAGAGGGAAGAGCAGAAGACGGUACCUCUUGAAUAAGCCACUGCUAACUACGUGCCCGCAGCCGCGGUAAUACGUAGGUGGCACGCGUUGUCCGGAUUUACUGGGGGUAAAGGGCGUGUAGCCGGGCUUACAGGUCAGAUGUGAAAUUCCGGGGCUCAACCCCGGACCUGCAUUUGAAACUGUUGGUCUUGAGUAUCGGAGAGGUAGGCGGAAUGCCUAGUGUAGCGGUGAAAUGCGUAGAUAUUAGGAGGAACACCAGGGGCGAAGGCGGCCUGCUGGACGACAACUGACGGUGAGGCGCGAAAGCGUGGGGAGCAAACAGGAUUAGAUACCCCAGUAGUC